This is a long non-coding RNA of Equus caballus (horse), 4047 nucleotides long. NCBI's taxonomy places the organism in Eukaryota, Metazoa, Chordata, Mammalia, Perissodactyla, Equidae. The record is from Ensembl.
CUUCAGUAUGGUGUCAUAUUUUUUUUUAUUGUGACAUCUAGUUGCACGGGGUAAAGGAGAUGGAGAGUUGCAUUCAGCAAGGGCUGGGGUUAGCCAGAUGAAGGUCGUGAAGUGAGAAAGGGUAGCAGAGUUGAGGGUGUGGGCAAUGGAAGGAUUUAAGGAUAAGCUGUGGGAUCUGUGCUGUGUAAAGAAGCAAGUAUGGGCAUGACAGCGGGUGAGUGGGACAGUAAAAGGCAGAAGGAUCAAUGGAUGAAAGACCCAGUGGGGUGGAAUGCUUGUUGGAGCUGGAGGGGCAGAGGGGUGAGCUGGAAAGACAGCUGGGUGGUCAUAGCGUGUGAUCCCGGAAAUGGAUGGUUUGCAGUUAUUAGUAAUAACAAAGUCUGGGUUUGGGCUAAGGUCACGUGGAGGACAAGAUUAUUAUUUUUUUUUUUUUGAGGAAGAUCAGCCCUGAGCUAACUGCCAGCAAUCCUCCUCUUUUUGCUGGGGAAGACUGGCCCUGAGCUAAUAUCCGUGCCCAUCUUCCUCUACUGAAUAUGUGGGACGCCUACCACAGCAUGGCUUGACAAACGGUGCCAUGUCUGUACCCGGGAUCCGAACUGAUGAACCCCAGGCCACCGAAGCGGAACUUGCACACUUAACCGCUGUGCCACCGGGCUGGCACAGGGACAAGAUUAUUGAGAAGACCUCAAGGAACUGAGAGACCAGGGUCUUGGGUGAGUCAUCUACCAAGAUAAUGAAGUCACCAAGAAUUAUGAUGAGAUAAUGGUGGCGAUAGUGACAGUGAGGCACAGGCUCAUCCUCCAGCAAUGAGAAGGAUGUCCUGGGGGUCCAUCAGAGGCUGUGACAAGAGAGUCUAGCCUGAUGAUGUGCCUUUCUAAAGGGCGAGGGCUUCUGGAGGCAGGAGGGAGAAUGGUUGGGGGGUGACAAUGAGGAGCAAGGAAGUCACCCACCUCCCCUUCAGGCCCCUUGGUACAAGGGUAGUGGGACAGAAAACAAACCCAACCCAAGACGGCUACAGUGGAAGCUUGCUCUCGGAAAGGAGCCAGGUUUUGGUUAAAGGGAGAAUAGGAAAGGAAUAUUUAAAGAAGCUGAUGAUAUUUACUUUCUAUGCCCAGCACUCAGCUGGACACUGAGACAGUGAACAAAAGAGUGAAAUAUCCUCCCUCCUGGGCCUUAUGUUCCACCUGGUGAGACAGAGUAAACAAGAUUGAAAAAGUCAAAUAUAUAGUCUAUUAGAUAGUGCUAAAUAUUAGGGGAAAAAAUAAAGCAGUGAAGAAAGAUCGAAGUGUCAGUAAUUGGGAGUUAAAACUAUAAUAGUUAGCUAAGACAGGCUCCCUGAGAAGAAGACAUUGAGUAAAGGCCUGAAGGAAAUUGGAAAGCUGACCAGAGACCUGGGGGUAAGAAGAACAGCAACUGCAAAGGCCCUGAGGUGACAGCAUGCCCACGAUGUCUGAGGAAGAGCGAGGAGGUGAUACUGAUGCUAAUGCUGCUGGUCGGGGACCAGUUUUGAGAACCACAGGAGAAGUGCAUUACAGUCAGUUUGCCCCGCAGAAUGGAGCACCCAUUUGUGCCUCAUGAUGGUGAAUUCACUGAAGGCCGCCAGCAUGGCUGUGUUUUUGUCUCUGUCAUGCUCAGCUGCACUGGAACCGGCACAGAGCAGGCAGGUAGGUUUAACUUGGGUUGAAUUUUAGCCAAGUGAAUGCUACAAAUCCUGGGAAAGGCAAGUGGGUUAAGGGGAGAGGCACUGGAAUGACUGGGCUGAUUGACCUUGGAUGUGAAUCUGGGCAAGGUGAGAGGAGAGGUGAGUUGUUGGUGGAGACGUGUCAGGAUCCAGGAUGUCCAGGGUUGUCGUGGUCUGGGUCCUUAGAGGGAGUGAGCUAGAAUUGAGGUUAUGGAUGGGGUGAGACCAUAGCAAGGAGUGGCCAAGGUUGGGUGGAAGACAGGGUGCUUGCAGGACAGGAGGUCCAGGAAUGAGAGGCCAGAGUCUUGGAAGGUGCAUCUAUCUGUUUGGAUAUUGAAAACACUAAGAAUUGAAGCAGGAGCCCGUUAGAGAGAGUGACAGUGAGCCAGGAGCUAAAAUCCUCAAGCAGUGAGGUGGUGACCUGGUGGCCCAGAGGUGACGGCGACAAGGAGAGGUGGUGGGAGCUGCAUUCUAAUGACAAGAGGUUCAAAGCCAGAAGGUUUUACAGGAACGACCAUGGAGAGAGGUCUGGCAUGACAAGGGGAACAAGGAGGAGCCCACCCCACCUCCAGGCCUGGAGCAGAGAAGCAGGAGUGAGCAGAGCCAUCACUUAGGGAGCCGCUGGGAAGCUGAGCUCUCAGGGAGAGUCAGGGUCCGUUCCCUCUGUAGUUCUCCACCCUAGCCUCAAAUGAGAAACACCUGGGGAAUUUGGAGACCACACCGGAGCCUGGACCCCACUAUCUGAGGUUUGAAUUUCAUUAGUCUGGUGAGGAGCCUGGACUUGGGUGUGUUCUUAAGCCCCUGACGUGAUUUGACUGUGCAGCUCGGGAGGGAGAGGGAGACGGUGAAGGGGACGCUGACAGGAGUCCAAGGAUGUGGGGGACUUUGCCGGUGAUUGGCCUGGGGUCCAGAGGGAAAAUGGCAGGCUUCAGGACAUGGGACCAGACUAGGGGAGGAUGGUGGGCAUGAGGAUGAAGUCUGGGGGAGUGGGGAGACCUGGCAGACCUGGGCUGAAAGAGGGGUCAAGUGCCUGCCUGUGGUCUCAAGGCACAUCGUGGUGGUGAGGCUCGGAGUGUUGGGUGUUGGGGAGAGGGAGGGAUGGGGUCUCGCCUGGAGCACAGAGAGGGCAGUGGCCCCUCUUUACCUGGCAGUGGCAGAGGCUGGAAGAGGGGGAGGGGAUCCGAGUGGAACACCUUGAAUUUGAGGCUCCGCCCUGGCUCCUAGCUUCCUCUUCUCCGCGUCCGAUCCGUCAGCAAGUCAGUAGGCUCUGCAGAGACUGAGACAAAGGUCUGGGUGCAGGUAGCUUAUUUGGAAGGUGUUGCCAGAAGGUGGGGGUGAGGAGGCACCGAGAGUGAGAUGGGGAGGGCACAAAGUCCAUGUAAGGGUGUUGUCAGCCUCACUGCUGUAGGGGAGGGGCUGCAUCCCACAGGACCUCUGGGAAGCAUUCAGAAUACCUGGCGGGGUUGUCUUGCCAAAGAUGGGAGGCCGAAGCCUUUAUCCACUGGCUCCCAUCCCCACUGGUGGAGGCUGCUUCUGGGGCGUCAGUUCCCUGACCACCAGCCUGUGCUUGCCUGAGGGCCAAGGUAGUUCCAGCUGCAAGGCUGCACUGGAGAAGGCUCUGGAGCCAGAGGCAAGUCAGCACUUUUCAAGACAGCCGUGGCUAAACUCAGAGGUGGGCGAGAGGCUGCACCACAGGCUCCAUGGUGUCUGCUGCCUGACCCAUUGCCCCACUAGAGUGCAAGUUCUUAGCGAGCGGAGACUGUCAUUUCUGUUCACGGAUGUGUCCCAAGAGCCCAGCACAGUGCCUGACAGACAGCAGGGAGCAACGAAUAUUAAUUGAAGGAAGUUAAUCCUUUCAUCAAUCCAGUGGAAAACUGAAGAUGGAGGCAGAGACUGCAGUCAGGCAGCUGCAAGGUGAGGAACACCACGGACUGACGGCACCAGCAGAAACGAGGAAGAGGCAAGAAAGGAUUCUACCCAGAGCCUCAGAGAGAGCAUGGCCCUGCUGACACCUCGAUUUCAGACUUGUAGCCUCCAGAACUGGAGAUAAUAAAGCUCUGUUUUUCUAAGCCACCCAGUGUGUGGUACUGUGUUACAGCAGCCCUGGGAAACUAUACACCUUUCUGUGUUCAAAGCAAGUUCUAGUUCAAGCUGAAAGCAGGGCCUCUAGGAGCUGUCAGUUCCUCCUGCCCUCCUCUCCCCACAUUGUAGACAUAAUUCACUUACCUUCUACUUCCUUUGAAUCUUGCUGAACUCCCACGCCUUAUAGAUUCACUGGAAUUCGGUGCUCAUGGGGCAUGGAGAACACUAUACGCAAAUGGGGCAGCAAGGGACAGCAGACACCUACUGCACAACUCUCUGUUCAG